GGGUUGUGAGGUUAAGCGACUAAGCGUACACGGUGGAUGCCCUGGCAGUCAGAGGCGAUGAAGGGCGUGCUAAUCUGCGAUAAGCGCCGGUAAGGUGAUAUGAACCGUUAUAACCGGCGAUACCCGAAUGGGGAAACCCAGUGUGAUUCGUCACACUAUCAUUAACUGAAUCCAUAGGUUAAUGAGGCGAACCGGGGGAACUGAAACAUCUAAGUACCCCGAGGAAAAGAAAUCAACCGAGAUUCCCCCAGUAGCGGCGAGCGAACGGGGAGGAGCCCAGAGCCUGAAUCAGCAUGUGUGUUAGUGGAAGCGUCUGGAAAGGCGCGCGAUACAGGGUGACAGCCCCGUACACAAAAGCGCAUGUGCUGUGAGCUCGAUGAGUAGGGCGGGACACGUGGUAUCCUGUCUGAAUAUGGGGGGACCAUCCUCCAAGGCUAAAUACUCCUGACUGACCGAUAGUGAACCAGUACCGUGAGGGAAAGGCGAAAAGAACCCCGGCGAGGGGAGUGAAAAAGAACCUGAAACCGUGUACGUACAAGCAGUGGGAGCACACCUUUACGGGUGUGACUGCGUACCUUUUGUAUAAUGGGUCAGCGACUUAUAUUCUGUAGCAAGGUUAACCGAAUAGGGGAGCCGGAGGGAAACCGAGUCUUAAUUGGGCGUUAAGUUGCAGGGUAUAGACCCGAAACCCGGUGAUCUAGCCAUGGGCAGGUUGAAGGUUGGGUAACACUAACUGGAGGACCGAACCGACUAAUGUUGAAAAAUUAGCGGAUGACCUGUGGCUGGGGGUGAAAGGCCAAUCAAACCGGGAGAUAGCUGGUUCUCCCCGAAAGCUAUUUAGGUAGCGCCUCGUGAAUUCAUCUCCGGGGGUAGAGCACUGUUUCGGCUAGGGGGCCAUCCCGGCUUACCAACCCGAUGCAAACUGCGAAUACCGGAGAAUGUUAUCACGGGAGACACACGGCGGGUGCUAACGUCCGUCGUGAAGAGGGAAACAACCCAGACCGCCAGCUAAGGUCCCAAAGUCAUGGUUAAGUGGGAAACGAUGUGGGAAGGCCCAGACAGCCAGGAUGUUGGCUUAGAAGCAGCCAUCAUUUAAAGAAAGCGUAAUAGCUCACUGGUCGAGUCGGCCUGCGCGGAAGAUGUAACGGGGCUAAACCAUGCACCGAAGCUGCGGCAGCGACGCUUAUGCGUUGUUGGGUAGGGGAGCGUUCUGUAAGCCUGCGAAGGUGGCCUGUGAGGGUUGCUGGAGGUAUCAGAAGUGCGAAUGCUGACAUAAGUAACGAUAAAGCGGGUGAAAAGCCCGCUCGCCGGAAGACCAAGGGUUCCUGUCCAACGUUAAUCGGGGCAGGGUGAGUCGACCCCUAAGGCGAGGCCGAAAGGCGUAGUCGAUGGGAAACGGGUUAAUAUUCCCGUACUUGGUGUUACUGCGAAGGGGGGACGGAGAAGGCUAUGUUGGCCGGGCGACGGUUGUCCCGGUUUAAGCGUGUAGGUGUGUGUUCCAGGUAAAUCCGGUUCACUUUAACACUGAGGCGUGACGACGAGGCACUACGGUGCUGAAGCAACAAAUGCCCUGCUUCCAGGAAAAGCCUCUAAGCAUCAGGUAACAUCAAAUCGUACCCCAAACCGACACAGGUGGUCAGGUAGAGAAUACCAAGGCGCUUGAGAGAACUCGGGUGAAGGAACUAGGCAAAAUGGUGCCGUAACUUCGGGAGAAGGCACGCUGACACGUAGGUGAAGUGAUUUACUCAUGGAGCUGAAGUCAGUCGAAGAUACCAGCUGGCUGCAACUGUUUAUUAAAAACACAGCACUGUGCAAACACGAAAGUGGACGUAUACGGUGUGACGCCUGCCCGGUGCCGGAAGGUUAAUUGAUGGGGUCAGCGCAAGCGAAGCUCCUGAUCGAAGCCCCGGUAAACGGCGGCCGUAACUAUAACGGUCCUAAGGUAGCGAAAUUCCUUGUCGGGUAAGUUCCGACCUGCACGAAUGGCGUAAUGAUGGCCAGGCUGUCUCCACCCGAGACUCAGUGAAAUUGAACUCGCUGUGAAGAUGCAGUGUACCCGCGGCAAGACGGAAAGACCCCGUGAACCUUUACUAUAGCUUGACACUGAACAUUGAGCCUUGAUGUGUAGGAUAGGUGGGAGGCUUUGAAGUGUGGACGCCAGUCUGCAUGGAGCCGACCUUGAAAUACCACCCUUUAAUGUUUGAUGUUCUAACGUGGACCCGUUACCCGGGUUGCGGACAGUGUCUGGUGGGUAGUUUGACUGGGGCGGUCUCCUCCUAAAGAGUAACGGAGGAGCACGAAGGUUGGCUAAUCCUGGUCGGACAUCAGGAGGUUAGUGCAAUGGCAUAAGCCAGCUUGACUGCGAGCGUGACGGCGCGAGCAGGUGCGAAAGCAGGUCAUAGUGAUCCGGUGGUUCUGAAUGGAAGGGCCAUCGCUCAACGGAUAAAAGGUACUCCGGGGAUAACAGGCUGAUACCGCCCAAGAGUUCAUAUCGACGGCGGUGUUUGGCACCUCGAUGUCGGCUCAUCACAUCCUGGGGCUGAAGUAGGUCCCAAGGGUAUGGCUGUUCGCCAUUUAAAGUGGUACGCGAGCUGGGUUUAGAACGUCGUGAGACAGUUCGGUCCCUAUCUGCCGUGGGCGCUGGAGAACUGAGGGGGGCUGCUCCUAGUACGAGAGGACCGGAGUGGACGCAUCACUGGUGUUCGGGUUGUCAUGCCAAUGGCACUGCCCGGUAGCUAAAUGCGGAAGAGAUAAGUGCUGAAAGCAUCUAAGCACGAAACUUGCCCCGAGAUGAGUUCUCCCUGAGACUUAGAGUCUCCUGAAGGAACGUUGAAGACGACGACGUUGAUAGGCCGGGUGUGUAAGCGCAGCGAUGCGUUGAGCUAACCGGUACUAAUGAACCGUGAGGCUUAACCUUACAACGCCGAAG
This 2929-nucleotide ribosomal RNA is filed under the name Salmonella enterica subsp. enterica serovar Enteritidis str. EC20111095. RNAcentral's name for it is "bacterial LSU rRNA". It matches the Rfam family "Bacterial large subunit ribosomal RNA". RNAcentral also lists the same sequence under 1 other name. The record is from RNAcentral. Lineage: Bacteria; Pseudomonadati; Pseudomonadota; Gammaproteobacteria; Enterobacterales; Enterobacteriaceae.